This 877-nucleotide ribosomal RNA is filed under the name uncultured bacterium. RNAcentral describes it as "bacterial SSU rRNA". It matches the Rfam family "Bacterial small subunit ribosomal RNA", at positions 28 to 901 of the family's 1533-position model. The record is from RNAcentral.
AUGAAACGCUGCGGGCAGGCCUAACACAUGCAAGUCGAGCGGUAGAGAGAAGCUUGCUUCUCUUGAGAGCGGCGGACGGGUGAGUAAUGCCUAGGAAUCUGCCUGGUAGUGGGGGAUAACGCUCGGAAACGGACGCUAAUACCGCAUACGUCCUACGGGAGAAAGCAGGGGACCUUCGGGCCUUGCGCUAUCAGAUGAGCCUAGGUCGGAUUAGCUAGUUGGUGAGGUAAUGGCUCACCAAGGCGACGAUCCGUAACUGGUCUGAGAGGAUGAUCAGUCACACUGGAACUGAGACACGGUCCAGACUCCUACGGGAGGCAGCAGUGGGGAAUAUUGGACAAUGGGCGAAAGCCUGAUCCAGCCAUGCCGCGUGUGUGAAGAAGGUCUUCGGAUUGUAAAGCACUUUAAGUUGGGAGGAAGGGCAGUUACCUAAUACGUAUCUGUUUUGACGUUACCGACAGAAUAAGCACCGGCUAACUCUGUGCCAGCAGCCGCGGUAAUACAGAGGGUGCAAGCGUUAAUCGGAAUUACUGGGCGUAAAGCGCGCGUAGGUGGUUUGUUAAGUUGGAUGUGAAAUCCCCGGGCUCAACCUGGGAACUGCAUUCAAAACUGACAAGCUAGAGUAUGGUAGAGGGUGGUGGAAUUUCCUGUGUAGCGGUGAAAUGCGUAGAUAUAGGAAGGAACACCAGUGGCGAAGGCGACCACCUGGACUGAUACUGACACUGAGGUGCGAAAGCGUGGGGAGCAAACAGGAUUAGAUACCCUGGUAGUCCACGCCGUAAACGAUGUCAACUAGCCGUUGGGAGCCUUGAGCUCUUAGUGGCGCAGCUAACGCAUUAAGUUGACCGCCUGGGGAGUACGGCCGCAGGUUAAAACU